Long non-coding RNA from Pyrgilauda ruficollis (rufous-necked snowfinch), 4314 nucleotides. RefSeq lists it as uncharacterized. The transcript is spliced from 2 exons. Lineage: Eukaryota; Metazoa; Chordata; Aves; Passeriformes; Passeridae. The record is from RefSeq and is a predicted model, not a curated record.
ACCUUGGGGUGAAUAUGACAAGCAGGGGACACGGGGUACAGGGUGGUCUGGGGGAACAUGGCGGGUGGGGGGGGGGGAAUUGAGACCCCCCAGGGGUGGCACAGGGGACCUCGAGGUGGUUCCUGCCCUAAAUGCCACCCCAAUGUCCCCCCCAGGGCAGGAGCUGCGGCGGGUGAAGCCCCCCCGGCGCUCGGCGUCCUUCUUCAGCCGGGGGGGGGGCGGGGGCGGCUCCUACAGCCCCGUGGCACAGGGGGGCACGGGGGGGGCCGGCUCCGAGCAGGGCUGAGCCCCCCCGAGCCCCCCAAACCCCUCCCAGUUCAGACUGGGAGCCCCCAGGACCUCCCCCUCUUUGUACCCACACCCCCCAAUAAACUGCACUGCCCCCCCCCGCCCCCUCUCCCCAGGCAGGUUUUGGUGGAAUUUGGGGCAAAUCGGGGUCGAUUUGGGGCUAAUCCGGAGCAGUUUGAGGCAGUUUGGUACCAGUUUGGGGAGGAUUCUGGGUGGUUUGGGGCAGAUCAAAGCUCAUUCAGGGUGGUUUGCGACUCAUUUGGUGUGUUUGGGGCUAAUUCCUGGCAGUUUUGAGCUGGUUUGGGAUAUUUGGGGCUGAUUUUGGAUCAUGCAGGGCAUUUUCCAGCCAGUUCCUGGGGGGUCUGAGGCCACUUUCAGUGGAGUCGGGACAUUUUGGGGCCAGUUCUGGGGGGAUUUGGGGCCUAUUCCAGGCGGCUUGGGGUCCAUUCAGGGGGGUUUGCGAUGAGCCGCAGCAGUUUGGGGCCAGUUCUAGGGGGUUUGGGGCCAGUUCUGGGGGGUUUGUGGCCAACGUAGCCAAAUGGUGGCCCCACGUGACAGCGGCCAUUUCGGGCUGGGGAUUUAGGGACACAUGUCUGUCACUCUUGUCACCCUUGUCACACGUGUCACCUCUGUCAGGAGCUUCUGUGUUGGGGGGGCUUCUCCCUCUCAUUAGCACUAACGAGAUCUUUGGGACAAAUUCCAACAUUUUUGGGGGAAGUCCUGCUGAUUUUGGGGCAUCGCUCGUUGUCCAUUUGGGACCUUCACACACCCACCCAAAAUCCCCCUAUUUCACUAUUUAACUCCAUUUUCCUCACCUUUCCCACCCAGCAGGGCUGCAUUUAUACAAAAUAUCACAUUUUCUACCCAUAAACCCCACACGCCUCCACUCUGCGGCAAAACCGUCUCAGUCUCGAAUAACUUCAUUUUCUUAAGGUGCUUUUUAGAAAUGUAAGGAUUUUUUAAGGGAGAACUGGUGAGAGUUUUGUGCUGUGGGAGGGGCCGGUGUUACCGGGGCCUAAAGAACAGAGGAACUGCUCUGAAAUCCAAAAUUUACAAACUAAAAAAUGAACAAAAUAUAAGUAUUUGAUAGGAUGAAGAAAUGUUUUGGAAUAAAUGUUACUUGAGAGAAAUCAUGAAGGACACGGGUCUCCCCCCCCCACCUCACUGUUCCUGUGGGGAGGCGCCAUUUUGGGGGGGGGGGAGCAGGUUAUGGCCGAAUAAAAGGAGAUUUUCUGAGGAAAGUAAGACAUUUCUGAGGUAAAACUUUACAUUUAUGAGGGAAAUAAAACAUUUUUGAGGCAAAUGGGGAACUUUCUGAGCGAAAUGAAGCAUUUUUGAUACAAAUCGGACAUUUCUGAGCGAGAUAAGACAUUUUCUAUUCAAAUAGGACAUUUCUGAGGCAAAUCGGACACUUCUUGAGGGAAAUCAAACCUAUUUAAGACAAACCAGACAUCUCAGAGGGAAAUGAGACAUUGAUGAGGCAAAAUCAGACGUUCCUGAGGCAAACCGGACAUUUUCUCAGGGAAAUCGGUCAUUUUCUGACGGAACUCGGUCAUUUCUGAGGCAAAUGACAUUUUCCUGAAGGAACUCGGGCUUUUCUGAGGUACAACCAAGGAGAAAAGGGUGAUUUUUUUUUUAACCGUUCACCCUCUCCGGACGCGGCGGAGGUGACUCGCCGCUCUCCCCGCCCAAUGCGGAGCGAGCGGAGCGCUGGACGCCGCGCUCCCGCCCCCGGCGCCGCCCCCGCGGCGACUGCGGCAAAACCAAGGGAGGGGCCCGAUGAGGGGCGGGGUCUCCCUGUGGACCCGCCCAGACGCCUCACUCUCGGAUCCCUCCGCGCGGGGAUCCUUCCGCCCCUCACAUGGCCGCGGUCGAUUCACCGCGGAUCCCUCCGCCGGAUCCUUCCGCGGCCGCUCCCGCCCCCAAAUCUCUUUUUUUUUUUGCCUGUAAAUGGGCGUGGGGGAGGGGCGGAAGGAAAGUCGGGGCUGUGGGGGAGGGGAGCGAGCGGGGGGAGGGGGUCUGUGCCCAUUUGGCGGCUGUUUGAGGGGGCCCCGCGGAGGAGGGGACGCGAUGAAGUUCCCCCCAUGCACGCGUCCCUUUUCGUGAGGAAACGCCCCAAAAAUGUUGGAACAGCUCCUUCCACACCCCCAAAAUGCCUCAUCGGUUUCAUCAGCACCUUUAAUUAGCCCCAGAGCAGCUUUAAUGAAUGAUAAUUAAAAGGUGGGGGGGAGGGUUGUCCCCUCCCUGCCAGCACUUUUGGGGUGUCAUUUCCUGCCCGGAAACGCCUCAAAAUUCCAAAAAAGGGCUGUAAAAUGUCUUUUAAAAGCCUUUAAAUCCCUCAGAAUAGUGGAGGUUUAUUCCCCUUUUUGAAAACAGGGACUUCCAUGACUCGGCAUGGCCUGAAAUGGGCAGAAACACGGGGAUUUUGAUGCAUUUCUGUCGUAAAAAAGGAAAUUUAAAUGGUGGUUAUGGCUGUGCUGUAUCAGGGUGGAAAAAAAGGUUUUAAAAGUGUCGUUUGGGCUUUUUGGGGAACAAAAACUGGUGAAACUGGGCUUUGGGUCUGUGUUCCCUCAAGAAUUUUUUUUCCCCCCCAAGAUUUGUCACCCUUUUGAGGAGAAACUGCGCCUUUUUGGCAGCGGCCCAGCUCCGUGACGCAGCAAAAGCAAAAACCAGAGUAAAAUGAAUGAACAAAAAACAAAAAAAAACCCAAACCCUCCAGAACCACCCGGGAAGGUCGAAGCGAGGGAUUUUAGGGCAGAAUUGGCCAAACCGAACAAAAAAAUCGCUGUUAGAUUUAACCAUUUUCGUGCUGGACGGCGUGGGGCGGCCGGAGGCCCACGGCCGUGGGGGGAGGGGGUGACGCAGUUUGUGAGGGGAAAAAAUCAAAGAAAGGGGUAAAAAAUGUGAAAUAAUGGAAAAAUAAGCUUUUUCACACUGCGGGUGGUGGAUUUGGGGGGGGGGAUUUUGGGGGUCGAUGCCCUUUUUUGGUGAUUUUAGGGACUAUUUUGUCGCCCCCGCGGGGGCGGCGCCGAGCCGCUUAUAAGGGAGGGCCCCGCGCCGGCAGCGCCCGGCCGAGAACCAGCCCCGAAACGGCCCGAAUUCGGCCCAAAAGCGCUUAGAGCUGCUCGAUUUUAUACAAAAAGCUCCUAAAAUGGCUUUAUUUCCUACCGAGAGCUCAAAAAAUGGCUUUAUUGCCUACCAAAAGCUCUUAAAGCUGCGAUAUUUUAUAGAAAGAGCUCCUAAGACUGCUUUAUUUCAUAAAAGCGGCUCUUAAAUAUUUAUUUAAAGAAAAGAGACAAAAGCUGUUUCCUUUAAGGAAAACUGAGCUCUUAAAGCUGCUUUCUUUCAAUAUAAAUCCUUAAACUGCGGCGAUUCCAGUAAUGGGAAAAGCCGGGGCGAGCCGGGGCACUUUUAAUUGAAAAAAAUGAAUGAAAAACCUUUAAAAAGCUCUUAAAGCUGGUUUUCAUUUAAACCGAAGCUUCUAAUGCUGGUUUUUAAGAAAUCGCUGCUUUCAAAGCCGAUUUCUGGGAGAAGAGGCAGCUCUCGCAGCUCUUUAAUUCUUAAAAUAUCCUAAUGUGAUAUUUUCGAAAAGCCGGAGCGAGCUGGGGCGAUUUUAAUUUAAAAAGAGCUUUUUAAGCUUCUUUAAUUCAAAGAAAGAAAAAGCGCUUAAUUCGCUGUUUUCUGCUAAAAAAGCUCCUAAAUUUACAUUUUAAAAAAAAGCUCCUAAAGCUUUUAAAACAUCUAGUUUUGUCCCCAAGUGGGGCCGGGCCGGGCAGCGCAGGCGGGGGCGGCCGGUUUGGGGUGAAAUGCGGCAUUUUCAGGCUCAGGAUGGAUUGAGAGGAGCCAAUUUUGAGGGAAGAGCAGGAAAACUGAAGAGUGAAGAUGGAGUCGGCAGGGAGAGGAAAGUUUCUUCACAGUGACCCCAUCUGGGGGGAAAAAAAGGACUUUUUGGUAAAAUGGCGGCAGUUGGGCAGGGGAGGAGCAGAGAGAAGAGAGGAAAACAAGGACAGAAAGACAGAAAAUAGA